RNAcentral lists this ribosomal RNA (274 nucleotides) under uncultured bacterium. RNAcentral describes it as "partial 16S ribosomal RNA". It matches the Rfam family "Bacterial small subunit ribosomal RNA", at positions 523 to 796 of the family's 1533-position model. The record is from RNAcentral.
AUACAGAGGGUGCGAGCGUUAAUCGGAAUGACUGGGCGUAAAGCGCGCGUAGGCGGCUUAUUAAGUCAGAUGUGAAAUCCCCGGGCUCAACCUGGGAACUGCAUCUGAUACUGGUAAGCUAGAGUUUUGGAGAGGGAAGUAGAAUUUCAGGUGUAGCGGUGAAAUGCAUAGAGAUCUGAAGGAAUACCAGUGGCGAAGGAGACUUCCUGGCCAAAAACUGACGCUGAGGUGCGAAAGCGUGGGUAGCAAACGGGAUUAGAAACCCUAGUAGUCC